This 796-nucleotide long non-coding RNA is filed under the name Struthio camelus australis. RNAcentral describes it as "lncRNA (ENSSCUG00000014087.1)". Lineage: Eukaryota; Metazoa; Chordata; Aves; Struthioniformes; Struthionidae. The record is from RNAcentral.
UUUAAAGCAGCAGUUGCUCAGUCGUUGAUGCUGAAACAUCCUCGCUGCGCCGAGGCGGGCUUUGCCGGAAGGGGAGUAAGCCGCUGUCUGUGAGGUUGGGCUCCCUCACAGGGAAGCACCUGGGUUUAUUCAGUUAACUCUUCCGGCCAGCUCUUUAUUCAGUGAAUUAGCGUGUUGUGAACGAGGCGACUCCGACGCCUUUAAAAAAAGGGCGAUAGCGGUCGCUCCCUGGCGUCGCGGGGAGCCUGGUGCCAGCAGCGUGAUGGAGGCCGCGGCGUCAGGGCACCAAACGCUUGGUAGCCAGUGUGGAUGCGAGGGAGGUGACUGCCGUGCCGGCAAGCUCCUUUCUGGGGGAAGCUGAGUAUGUCUUUUACAAUGGAGUUAAAGAAGAUUUGUACAGAAACUGAAGAUGUGAUCCAUGCUCUCUCGUCUUUCACCAGUCUGUUUCUACCAUGCAGCUGGAUUCCUACAAGUUGACUUUUUCAUCACAAAGAAUGAGGAAUUUCCAAGAUUGAUACAUCAAAGAAUAAGGAAGAGAGCUGGUAGCAUACAGCUUCUGUAUCUAAAAUGGAUGGAAAUUGGAACUGGGUGAAUCAAGCCUCUGGCCUAAAACUGAACUGGUCUGGCUUAAAAUUGAACUGGUUCCACAAAGGAUGGAUUCCACAGGGUAGAGGAAUGGCUGUUGUCUGCCCUCUUUGUAAGUUCACCAAAGAACUUUGUCUAGUGCUAUUCAUCAGGACAUCAUAACAUGGCCAUAACUUCAAUAAACCACUUGUGUCUGCUGAGCUGUCGUCCA